AUUGAACGCUGGCGGCAGGCCUAACACAUGCAAGUCGAGCGGGGUUUUCGGACCUAGCGGCGGACGGGUGAGUAAUGCGUAGGAAGCUACCCGACAGAGGGGGAUACCAGUUGGAAACGACUGUUAAUACCGCAUAAUGUCUACGGACCAAAGUGUGGGACCUUCGGGCCACAUGCUGUCGGAUGCGCCUACGUGGGAUUAGCUAGUUGGUGAGGUAAUGGCUCACCAAGGCGACGAUCCCGUAGCUGGUUUGAGAGGAUGAUCAGCCACACUGGAACUGAGACACGGUCCAGACUCCUACGGGAGGCAGCAGUGGGGAAUAUUGGACAAUGGGCGCAAGCCUGAUCCAGCCAUGCCGCGUGUGUGAAGAAGGCUUCGGUU
This 381-nucleotide ribosomal RNA is filed under the name uncultured bacterium. RNAcentral describes it as "bacterial SSU rRNA". It matches the Rfam family "Bacterial small subunit ribosomal RNA", at positions 30 to 424 of the family's 1533-position model. The record is from RNAcentral.